RNAcentral lists this ribosomal RNA (270 nucleotides) under uncultured Pantoea sp. RNAcentral describes it as "partial 16S ribosomal RNA". The stretch from base 41 to 270 matches the Rfam family "Bacterial small subunit ribosomal RNA", at positions 105 to 339 of the family's 1533-position model. The record is from RNAcentral. Lineage: Bacteria; Pseudomonadati; Pseudomonadota; Gammaproteobacteria; Enterobacterales; Erwiniaceae.
UAGCACAGAGAGUUUGCUCGUCGGGUGACGAGUGGCGGACGGUGAGUAAUGUCUGGGGAUCUGCCCGAUAGGAGGGGAGUAACCACUAGGAAACGGUGGCUAAUACCGCAUAACGUCGCAAGACCAAGAGGGACCGUUCGGCCUCUCACUAUCGGAUGAACCCAGAUGGGAUUAGCUAGUAGGCGGGGUAAUGGCCCACCUAGGCGACGAUCCCUAGCUGGUCUGAGAGGAUGACCAGCCACACUGGAACUGAGACACGGUCCAGACUCC